GACGAACGCUGGCGGCGUGCUUAACACAUGCAAGUCGAACGGUGAAGCGCCUUCCUUUUUGGUGGGUGUGGAUGAGUGGCGAACGAGUGAGUAACACGUGAGUAACCUGCCCCCUUCUUCUGGAUAACCGCAUGAAAGUGUGGCUAAUACGGGAUAUUCUGGGUCUGUCGCAUGAUGGGUCUGGGAAAGAUAUUGUUUCGGUGGGGGAUGGGCUCGCGGCCUACCAGCUUGUUGGUGGGGUGAUGGCCUACCAAGGCGGUGACGGGUAGCCGGCCUGAGAGGGUGGACGGUCACACUGGGACUGAGACACGGCCCAGACUCCUACGGGAGGCAGCAGUGGGGAAUAUUGCACAAUGGGCGCAAGCCUGAUGCAGCGACGCCGCGUGAGGGAUGGAGGCCUUCGGGUUGUGAACCUCUUUCGCCAGUGAAGCAGGCCUGCCUCGUUUGUGGGUGGGUUGACGGUAGCUGGAUAAGAAGCGCCGGCUAACUACGUG
Molecule: ribosomal RNA, 494 nt
Filed under: uncultured bacterium
Lineage: Bacteria
Description: partial 16S ribosomal RNA
Rfam family: Bacterial small subunit ribosomal RNA
Source: RNAcentral